RNAcentral lists this ribosomal RNA (253 nucleotides) under uncultured bacterium. Its description in RNAcentral is "partial 16S ribosomal RNA". It matches the Rfam family "Bacterial small subunit ribosomal RNA", at positions 524 to 776 of the family's 1533-position model. The record is from RNAcentral.
UACGGAGGAUGCAAGCGUUAUCCGGAAUUAUUGGGCGUAAAGCGUCCGUAGGUGGCCGUUCAAGUCUGCUGUCAAAGGCUGGGGCUUAACUCCAGACAGGCAGUGGAAACUGAACAGCUAGAGUGUGGUAGGGGUAGAGGGAAUUCCCGGUGUAGCGGUGAAAUGCGUAGAGAUCGGGAAGAACACCGGUGGCGAAAGCGAGGUCCUGGACGUUUACUGACGCUGAGACGCGAAAGCUAGGGGAGCGAACGGG